UCGCACCUCUAAGAAAGAGUAUCUAUCUAUCUGUGCAUCCAAGUCGCCUGCAUCAGUUAGGGCCAUAUGGAGUACCUGUCUGAAUUGAAGAGGUGAUUUGAAUUUUCAAGAGAUGAGUGGAGUGGCGUAAAUGGUGGCAGGCUGCUAGCUGCAGCAGGAGCAUCAGCAGAGCACAUGCUUGGAAUGGAAGGCCGGUGCCCUCAUGUACGUUGUUAUAAAUACUAUGGCCUACUACAUCCAGGGAAGAAUAACAGCAGACCAGACGAGUGGUCAUUGUCGAUGCGAGAUGAGACGCAGUGGCAAUCAAUCAAUUUAAUGGCUCGUCGGAAUUGUUGCGUGGACCGAACAACAAUCAGGCCACACACAUUCUUCUCCGAGAGAGACCGCGAUGGCGUAAACUGGGCAAGAUUACAAGGAGCCGCACGCAGACGCGGCCAUGAAGCAACAGCGACCGCACCUGACCUAUCAUGGUCCCUUCUUAUUUGCAGUAGUACUAUGUUUGAUCACGCUCUUUGUAGUACUUCUUAUACAUUUGAUUUGAGGUUUCUUUUUUGAUUUAAAGGAAUAGCACAGGAUUUUCGAAGAAUUUGAAACUUUCUAUGUAGACCGUUUGAUACUACAUAGAAAUGGAAUCCUCACACUAGUAGAAAAA
This is a long non-coding RNA of Aegilops tauschii subsp. strangulata, 652 nucleotides long. RefSeq lists it as uncharacterized. The record is from RefSeq and is a predicted model, not a curated record. Lineage: Eukaryota; Viridiplantae; Streptophyta; Magnoliopsida; Poales; Poaceae.